UCGGGAAUAUUGCGCAAUGGAGGAAACUCUGACGCAGUGACGCCGCGUGCAGGAAGAAGGUUUUCGGAUUGUAAACUGCUUUAGACAGGGAAGAAAAAGACAGUACCUGUAGAAUAAGCUCCGGCUAACUACGUGCCAGCAGCCGCGGUAAUACGUAGGGAGCAAGCGCUAUCCGGAUUUAUUGGGUGUAAAGGGUGCGUAGACGGGAAGACAAGUUAGUUGUGAAAUCCCUCGGCUUAACUGAGGAACUGCAACUAAACUAUCAUUCUUGAGUGCUGGAGAGGAAAGUGGAAUUCCUAGUGUAGCGGUGAAAUGCGUAGAUAUUAGGAGGAACACCAGUGGCGAAGGCGACUUUCUGGACAGUAACUGACGUUGAGGCACGAAAGUGUGGGGAGCAAACAGGAUUAGAUACC
Molecule: ribosomal RNA, 413 nt
Filed under: uncultured bacterium
Lineage: Bacteria
Description: bacterial SSU rRNA
Rfam family: Bacterial small subunit ribosomal RNA
Source: RNAcentral